This 49-nucleotide transfer RNA is filed under the name Hygrobates turcicus. RNAcentral describes it as "tRNA-Arg". The record is from RNAcentral. Lineage: Eukaryota; Metazoa; Arthropoda; Arachnida; Trombidiformes; Hygrobatidae.
GAUUAGAAAAUUAAAGACUUCGAAUCUUUUAGAGCGAAAGCUCUAAUCU